Molecule: long non-coding RNA, 5675 nt
Filed under: Brassica rapa (field mustard)
Lineage: Eukaryota; Viridiplantae; Streptophyta; Magnoliopsida; Brassicales; Brassicaceae
Description: long non-coding RNA (BRAP_LNC004007)
Source: RNAcentral
UACUCAUUCCCUUCUCCUUAUUUAUUAUUUCUUCUAUGCUUUCUGAAUCUUCCACAUGUAGAUGCUUGAGAUUUGGAGCAAACAAUAACCAGCUCAAUUCUUUUGAACCUUUCAAUGCUAAUAUAGCAAUACUGGAGAGGUGCUUGAAGCAUGGAGAAGGAAGAUCUUCUUUCUCUUUGCUUUUCCAAUCUAUCUUUAUCUCUGAGAUUUUGGAAUAAUUAAUAUAAAGUUCUCGAAGACCACCCAUAGCUACCGUGUUCAAUGUUACAACCUCUGCGGACAUUUUGUAAAUCAAAAGGCAUUGAACACAACUCGCCAAUCGCUCCAUUCUUUGGAUACUUUCCAAGAUUAAAGCAUCUUUCACGUUUCCUGUGAAAAUCUUCAAGUGCUCUAAAAUUUGUAGCUCUUCAAUUGAUCUUGCAUCAAUAUCAACAUGAGAACCAAAUAGUUUCAACACCUGAAGAGUUGGUAAGCUUGUUCCUAUCCCAUCAAUGCUUUUAAGGCCGGGACAGUACUCCAGGUCCAGGCUUAUUAGUUUACUCAACCCCUUCAAAACAACUGGUAACGAACUUAUACGUGUGCGUGAUAAAUUGAGGUAUUGCAAGGAAAUCAAGCUGCAAAUUUCUUCCGGCAAUUCCAAAAGAAUUAGGUUACGCGAAAGAUCCAAGACGACAAGGGACGGCAUAAACUGAAAGAAUUCACCCGGUAUAACCUUCAACAUGUUAUCCCCGAGAAACAGAGUCGAAAGGUUGGGGCAUUUGGGACUGCAAGAUAUCUUUUUAAUUUGAUUACUCCUCAAGGAGAUCCUUCUCGAAACUGACCAGUUGAUGUCAUCUGGUAUAAAGCUUAGCUUCACACCGGACUUGACGCACUGUUUUUCUUCCUCUUUUCCUAUCCAAAGAGCCAUUUCACGUAACACAUCAUGCAUUUUCACCGCACGUGUGAAUCCAGAUUCGAAAAUAGUGGAUUCUUUUUCGCACUCCAUCAGUAGAUGUGCACGAACUAACGAACCAAUAAUAACAUGACCUUUGUUGUUACUUCCAUCUUCAUUUCUCUCUCCCUUUAUAAAUCCUUCGCUGAUCCAAUACUCUAUCAACUCCUCUUUAGUUAUUUCAUAAUCUUCCGGGAACAAAGAACAGUAUAGGAAGCAUGAUUUCACCUUUUCAUCCUCUAAACCAUCAUAGCUGAACUUCAAAAUCGAAAGAAUCUUUUUUUCCAUACCUGGAAACUUGUCGCUAGACGUUUUGAGAACAUCAAUUGCAUCACGCCAUUCGUGUACAUCCUCUUUACAUGACAUGGCUUUGCCAAUCACAUUGAGUGCAAGUGGCAAUCCAUAACACUUUUCACAAAUUUGUUUUGCAAGUGUGGGAAUAUCCGGAUGCCCCUUUAGUCGGACUUCUCCAACUGCAUUUUGAAACAGUUCCCAUGCUUCAUUCCUUGUCAAACAAUCCAUUUUCAGCUCAUCAUCAGCUCUCAUGUCUCUGCAAACUUCCUUUGAACGAGUGGUGAAAACUAUCUUUGAUCCAUUUUCUUGAGUUGGACUUGGAACUCCAAUCUUGUCCAAAUCUACCUCGCUCCACAGAUCAUCUAAUAGCAGAACAAAUUUCUUUCGUCCUAGGAUAUUCUCUAUGAAAGAUGCUUUCUCCUUCUCUGUUUCCUUUUCCCAAUCCUUGUCAACACAUAAUCUUCGUAGAAUCUGAUCCUGAAUGCCGUCGUAUUGCAAAUCUUUAGAGACCACAACCCAUAUCACAACAUCAAAUUCAUCCUUGAAUUUGUUGUUGAUUCUAGUUAAGAGGGUUGUUUUCCCAACUCCCCCCAUGCCAUAAAUACCUAACGUUCUUCCUUCAGGCUUCAUGAUGCUGUCCCAUGCCUUUCCAACCAUCGAAUCCAAACCUACUGUUUUUUGGAUAGGUUGCUGCUCCACCUUUGGUAAACGUCCUUUUAUGGCCACCUCUCCAAAAGCUUCUCUAGAUAGAAGCUCUUUAACUUUUUCCAACUUCUUCGAUACCUCUUUACCAUACUCAUAGCUUGAUAUACAAUUUUCGGAAAAAUAUCCAAAAAGACACAAUCUAUUGAUUUCAGCUGGUUUAGUCGUAAGCAGAUCACUGACCUGAGAGUCAAUACUUUCUACCCUUGCCAACCAUCUUUUUACUUCAGCAAGCCGCUGCAAACCUUUAUCUUCUUCUAUGGAAACUCUGGUUAACAGAUCAUCUCGCCUGUCUCUAAGUGUUUGCAUAGAUGCCUCCAGAGCCUCAAGAUUUGCCUUCAUCAUGUGAAUGUAGUUUCCAUCCCCAAAUAAGCUGUUGCAGGCUUGAGUUACCGCUUGACCCCAUGGUAAUACUGAUAGACAGCCUCCCAUCUUAGCUCAAACUUUCAGAAAGAAACCAAAAUCAAACUCACUGCUUUGGUGAAUGAACAAGAGAAAGAGGGAACACCAAUAAUUUUGAUUGACUUGAUGAGAAAAUAGUAAGCCACCAGCGAAGACCGACCAAUGACUCCACACAAAUAAUUCAUAAAUAAUAAUAAUGAAGGCCACACUUUCCUUAUCCCUUAGGAUGUCUAAUUAGAGUCACAUGAACCACUUGUGGACUUUAAGACUUUGGAUGUUACAGUCCAAUCCAAUUUGUUAUGUUUAUUUUCCUGAGCAAUUUACUGAAACGAAAUACAGCAUUAGAAGCCGUAACGGGGUAGCAGAGGAGGUCCACGAAAACAUAUUUCCUCAAGGCAGAAUCAAUGAAAAAGUAAAAGGGGCCAUAAGAGUGUUCAGGAGGAGGAUUGCUUGCAUCUUGAGUGAGACGGUUUCACUUCAUAAUGCUGUCUCAGAGAUAAAUAGAUAUCACCUCAUCUUGCUUAGUGAUAUCCGGGGCACUGAUGCUUGGGACUAUCCUCGUCAUUUUAACAGAAUGAUAAAGUAGUGUCUUAUCUAAUUACUUGGACGUUGUGUCUUCUCCAAGUAAAGUCAUGAAACAUGUAAUACAGAUGGUUUCUGAUUUUUCAGAUGUCUCUGAGCUGAAAUUGUUUCUUACACUAGUGAAGCUCCCGGGAGUUUUUCCUCUGAUCCCAGUGCCUUACGUUUAUGGCAGUGCAGAUUAGUCCACCACCUGUUUAUAAGAAGGAUGUAUUAAAACCAAACACCCGUACUGUCUCAAAAGGCAAUACCACCAAUUGCUAACUUUGACUUACAAAUACGUCACAAGGAAAUGAGACAGUAAACAGAUCAUUUCACGAGUAAAACGGUAAUACAAUGGUAUCAAAUGAGUAGAGGUUGUUCUACCCACACAGAUUCUGUAAUCACCUCCACAUCAAUCACAAGAUGCAAAUGAUGCAGCCAGAUCCAACGCUGCGUUCACUUGAGAAGCAUCCAUUCCCUGAAACCAAAAUAACAUGCUCAACAAUUAUCAACCAAUGUCAAAAUAUAUUUCUCCGUUGGAACUUAGAUUGAGAUCCAUUGGCACAUGAUCCCUAAAACCAGACACAUACCUGUCCAGAUGCGAGACAACUUUUUCCAUUUCCCGCAUCUCUCUUUUAGAGGACCCAAUGCAGUUGUCAGCCACUCAGUGACGUCUAGUUGCUUGAACUCCUGUACACACAACCGCCUUGUUGGCUAUUUCAUCUGUGCUGAACACCAUUAUCCACAUUCCCAACAAGAUUCACCAACAACACUGUUAUUUAGCUUUCUUUACCUUCUCUAUGAGUAGUAAGUAGAAGUAAAUGGAGAUUUUACCUUCUUCUCCACAACUGUCGAAACAGCCUCUCGCACGGCAGCUGCAUCAACACCUACAUCAAGCCCGUAAAGUAAAAGGGAAAGAUUCACAGAAAACAAAAGCUAAAAACGGAUUGCAAUUUGCAAGAGAACUGGUGGACAGCUUACUUCACCAAAAACUUCUCUUAGACCUUUGAUUCGCUUGGCUUCAGAAAGCACUGAUUCCUUGGAAAAUACUUCCAACUCAUCCUUGAUCUGUUUAUUCACUGUGGCUUCGAUCUUUCUCAAAUCUUCAGGAUCAACCGGCUUGCCUACUCAAAAUGAAAAUAUGACUUAUUGAAGAAUGUACCGUGGGAAAAUCAAAAUGCAGUUUUUCUAGUGGUUGCUUAUCACUUUCAUAUGACCUCUUGAGAAAAUAAAUCAUUCAGACAGAAGAUUUAUCUCUUUUCACAUCUCUGAUAUUUAAUCACUCAAACUCCAGAUCACAGGUUGAUAUCAUUCAAAUAUCGAGUCAAGUUGACAGGUUACAUAGCAGAUCCACGAGUGAAAUUUAAGGUUCUUCGGAAACAUCGAACAUUUGAAUCAAACUGUUUCAGUUGAGGGCCACACUUAUCUUAAAACAGAGAUGCCGUUUCUCUAAAGUCAUAUAUAAUGUCCCAAAGUUUUGUCAAAUUAAGAUGCCCUCUAUUUGCUUGUUGUAGCUCUUUAAUUCAAGGAAGAGAGAAAAGCCAUUAACUAAGUUCAGAACCAGCAGCCAUGGCGAGCAUCAAUCAAGAGAUCCAUGAAACAAAACACACACAAAUGAAAGCUUUGAGGAAAAUGUAUCAAAUGAUUACAAACUGGAGAGAAGGGGAAAUGCAACAAUGAAAAAGUUUCCUGCUUUGAGAAAUACAAUUUUGACAACAAUGUCAUUCAAGCAAAAGCAGAACAUAAAACCCAAAACCAAGAAGUUUAAGAAACUGAGAGGAUACACACACACACAUAUUAUUCGGAGCCUCAUUCAUCAACUUCCUUACUCCUGCUCGUGUCUCUGAAACUCUCUAAUGGCAGGUUUGGGUAGCUUUGGGCAGUCUUCGACAUCAAACUUUAUCAGGGAUGGAAGAGCAGGAGGAGGACUUGAGCAUAUUCUCUUUAAUUUCUUCAAAUCCCUUAAAGUGAGGGAUUGUAGCUUCGCAAAGGGAACCGUCAUAUCAGGAUGCACAUUGCUAAUACUCAUUCCCUUCUCCUUAUUUAUUAUUUCUUCUAUGCCUCCUGAAUCUUCCACAUGUAGAUGCUUGAGAUUUGGAGCAAACAAUAACCAGCUCAAUUCUUUUGGACCUUCCAAACCAAAUAUAGAAAUACUGGAGAGGUGCUUGAAGCAUGGAGAAGGAAGAUCUUCUUUCUCUUUGCUUUUCCAAUCUAUCUUUAUCUCUGAGAUUUUGGACAUCGUAAUAUCAAGUUCUCGAAGACCACCCAGAGCUGCCGUGUUUAAUGUUAAUACCUCUGCGGACAUUUCGGAAAUCCAAAGGCGUUGAACACAACUCGCCAAUCGCUCAACUCUUUGGAUACUUUCCAAAAUUAAAGCAUCUUUCACGUUUACUGUUAAAAUCUUCAAGUGCUCUAAAAGUUGAAGCUCUUCAAUUGAUCUUGCAUCAAUCAAAACACUAGAAAAAUAUAGUUUCAACACCUGAAGAUUUGGUAAGCUUGUUCCUAUCCCAUCAAUGCUUUUAAGCUUGGUGAACUCCAGGUCCAUGCUUAUUAGCUUCCUCAACCCCUUCAAACCAACUGAUAACCAACUUAUACCUGUGUAUGAUAAAAUUGAAUACCUUUGUCCAUUGUGGACCAACCAAUUAUAGUCCAAAAAAUAUGUUUCUUAGUUAUCAUGAAAGGAAUCCAUCCCACUCUUCUCGGUUGAUUCAGAUGUGGAAUAGGAACUCUGUUGAAAUUUCUACUCCGCCUUCUCCGACAUGCAAUCCUCCGUUUAUUCGGCUUC